Molecule: long non-coding RNA, 211 nt
Filed under: Homo sapiens (human)
Lineage: Eukaryota; Metazoa; Chordata; Mammalia; Primates; Hominidae
Description: non-protein coding lnc-C5orf30-9:1
Source: RNAcentral
CGUAACUCAACUGUAUUAAGUGUUGGAGUCAAUAUGAUUCAUGGAGUGGUACAUACAACCUGAAAUCUAAGAAUUGCAGUAUCUAAAUAAAUAUAAGGAAGAGUUCCCUGUUACCUACCCGUCAUCAAGAAAAAUCAGAAUUUGUUGGACAACAUCAUCUUAAGUCUGAAGGAUUCCACUUCUACGGUGCAGACUUCAACCUUAGCUCCAG